Long non-coding RNA from Helianthus annuus (common sunflower), 501 nucleotides. RefSeq lists it as uncharacterized. The record is from RefSeq and is a predicted model, not a curated record. NCBI's taxonomy places the organism in Eukaryota, Viridiplantae, Streptophyta, Magnoliopsida, Asterales, Asteraceae. The transcript is spliced from 2 exons.
AUGUUAAAUUAGGUUGUAUUUGUAGGUAAAAUAUGAGGGACUUCUGUUGGAGAAAUAUGGGGAGGAAAGUAGCCAACACCGAGAACUUGACAAAGAAUUGUGGUACCGAGCUGCCGGGGGAAAGAAGAGAGGUAAAGUAUAUGGGUUAAGCAAUCUUAAGAAUGAUUUUAACGUUCAACAUCAUGGCAAACAAGACCAAGAGAUCGAAAGGUUGAACGUGAUUAUUGCGGGAUUGGUGGUGGAAAAAGAGAAAGAUAAGGCGGAGAAAGAGGCUAUGAAUGAAAGGAUGGCAAACAUUGAAGCGAUGCUAAAAUCUAGGUUUCAAAACGUAUAAUCAUCGACUUAGGUUUCAAAACGUAUAAUCAUCGACUUAGGUUUCAAAACGUAUAAACACUUUGUUUUGAAUAUGUAUUUUGUUAUGAUAACUUUGGUAUUUGAUGUUUCAAGUGGGAUGUUUUAUAUAAUUGUGAAAAUUUGAUAAUAUGUAAAAUUUAAAAUUGA